AAAAAAAUGAUCAUACAAUCACGGGGAGACUGCAGAUUCAAUACAGAAUUGAAGACCACCAAAAUCGUUUUUACUGUGCUGGCAAUAUUCAUCAUUCUUUGGACACCCUACACCGUUGUCUACGUGUCGUCAUCAAACAGUGGCAACAUGAACACCAUCCCACCCAGCGUGUUCAAGUUCUGUGGAUUCCUCACUGCAAUGCAUUCAAUGUGCAACUCUAUUAUCUAUUUUACAAUGACCAAAAGCUUCCGAAAGAUUGCUGUCAAGUUGCUGCGAAAAAUCUUUACAUGCGUUCUCCCGGCGAACGAGGAAUCGGCCGGAACAACAGAGUCGCUUUCUUGCGAAAAAGCAAGCUGUUCUGCAAAAAUAACUCCUCUAUCAGACAAAAAGGUUUUGCCUUUGCUAGUUCUUACGAGUCGAGCACCCGGAGAUUCGAAAAUAUAAAUGAGUAACUCAACGCAUUUAGGACUCUUAUGGAAACUGCGAUCGAGUUACAUACAGAAAAGACCUCGCGUUAUUUCUAGAGCUUACGUAGGGGUAGCUUCCUGCAUCACAUAGGCCUCAAGAUAUAUUGUGAACUUUAUUUAAACACGGAUUCAGUAUCAUUAGGACAAAAUGAUCUUCCCGAGAGCUGUGUAUAUAAAAAAAACUAGAUUAAAUAGUAAUAGGAAAAAUAUACUGCAAAACUAAGAAGUGUUCUAAAAGAGAGGAAUCUGUGAUAAGAUUUUGAAAUUUAUUGAAUCACUCUUCGGUUCCAAAUACAGAAACCUAAUUUUGAUUGUUAUUUCCCUUUAACAUUCUUAAUUAACAGUUUAUGAGAAAAGAACGAAAAGUUGAUGAAUUCUGAAACUGGAAAAGUAUGCCAUGCGGCUUCGGAUCAGUGGCGUAACUACUAUGGGCUCGGACCGGGAGAACCCGGGGGCCCCCAACCCCAACGGGGGCCCCCAGGCUCAGGCUAUAGCCUAUAGAGCAACAAUGCCAUUCUCUGACCAUCAGAAUUCUGUAAAAUCUC
Non-coding RNA from Paramuricea clavata, 1012 nucleotides. NCBI's taxonomy places the organism in Eukaryota, Metazoa, Cnidaria, Anthozoa, Malacalcyonacea, Plexauridae. The record is from the annotation of a GenBank genome assembly.